AGAAACAAUAUCUCAGUGACGUCUCAGGACCACAGGGGGAACAGCUCACUCUUCAGAGUAUUUGAGCUUUAUAUAGCUCUAAUUUGUUCCUACCAAGAUAGAAAAAGGAUGACUUCCCCCUCCACACUGAUCCAGCAGCAGACGGGAGGCAGGAUCAUUGAUUAAUAUUUCUGGAGGGAGUGAUGGCUAACCGUAAGCUGUGCUUAACCCAAACAACGCCAAACACAGCCAUCAGAGGUUAAACACAGAAGUUUGGGUUUAUACUUUCAGAAAAAAA
Non-coding RNA from Electrophorus electricus (electric eel), 277 nucleotides. NCBI's taxonomy places the organism in Eukaryota, Metazoa, Chordata, Actinopteri, Gymnotiformes, Gymnotidae. The record is from RefSeq and is a predicted model, not a curated record.